AACGAACGCUGGCGGCAUGCCUAACACAUGCAAGUCGAACGAGAUCUUCGGGUCUAGUGGCGCACGGGUGCGUAACGCGUGGGAAUCUGCCCUUUGGUUCGGAAUAACAGUUGGAAACGACUGCUAAUACCGGAUGAUGACGAAAGUCCAAAGAUUUAUCGCCAGAGGAUGAGCCCGCGUAGGAUUAGCUAGUUGGUGUGGUAAUGGCGCACCAAGGCGACGAUCCUUAGCUGGUCUGAGAGGAUGAUCAGCCACACUGGGACUGAGACACGGCCCAGACGCCUACGGGAGGCAGCAGUGGGGAAUAUUGGACAAUGGGCGAAGGCCUGAUCCAGCUAUGCCGCGUGAGUGAUGAAGGCCUUAGGGUUGUAAAGCUCUUUUACCCGGGAUGAUAAUGACAGUACCGGGAGAAUAAGCUCCGGCUAACUCCGUGCCAGCAGCCGCCGUAA
This 449-nucleotide ribosomal RNA is filed under the name uncultured bacterium. RNAcentral's name for it is "partial 16S ribosomal RNA". It matches the Rfam family "Bacterial small subunit ribosomal RNA", at positions 29 to 523 of the family's 1533-position model. The record is from RNAcentral.